UACGAGGGGGGCAAAUGUUGUUCGGAAUCACUGGGCGUAAAGGGAGCGUAGGCGGGUGUUUAAGUUAGGUGUUUAAUCCCGGGGCCCAACCCCGGUCAGGCACCUAAAACUGGACAUCUUGAAUAGGGGAGAGGUCAGUGGAAUUGGAGGUGUAGCGGUGGAAUGCGUAGAGAUCUCCAAGAACACCAGUUGCGAAGGCGGCUGACUGGACCCAUAUUGACGCUCAUGUACGAAAGCGUGGGGAGCAAACAGG
Molecule: ribosomal RNA, 253 nt
Filed under: uncultured bacterium
Lineage: Bacteria
Description: partial 16S ribosomal RNA
Rfam family: Bacterial small subunit ribosomal RNA
Source: RNAcentral